This 893-nucleotide long non-coding RNA is filed under the name Vigna radiata. RNAcentral describes it as "long non-coding RNA (VRAD_LNC002922)". Lineage: Eukaryota; Viridiplantae; Streptophyta; Magnoliopsida; Fabales; Fabaceae. The record is from RNAcentral.
UUUUGGUGAGUUGUAGGGCGCUGUUGUGCUCCACUGUAAGGGUACUGUCUUAGGACACUCUUAGCAAGUGGUACUGUCAAGCUUUCCAGGUAAGGGAAGCUGAUUAUAUAUUUAAAUGGUUUGUUUGAUACGUGUGUAGGUUAAUUUCUAAAACAGUAUGUUUUUUCGUCUUAAAUGUCAUAUUUUAUGCUUGAGUGAUAUGUGUUAUGAUACUGUAAUUGUACAUGUAAAUUAUGGGAAUGAGUAAAUGUGUAAGGGGAGCAAUUUGAAUAAAUUAUAGUGUUACUGUUAGUUAUUGAUUUGUGCCUCCAUAUUACCAAUCGGUAUUUGGCGUUUUGAUAUAGUGAAGUUUGAGAAAAAAAAUGUUAUACGUUAUUGGGUUAGGUGUAACCAUCUUCCUUGGUCUUAUUCUCUUUGACAAUUUUGUAUGCAUGUGACGGGUUGUAGAUGUUUUUCUUGGAGUUUAAUUGGAUGUAUAAAAUAAAAAACGUGUUCUCAUUUAGGAUUCGAUGGGUGAAUGAGUGUAGUAGGGUAAAAAGAGGACUUGGUAUGUUUUGCGUGGUGAUUGGUGAAAAAAGGAAUGAGUGAGGAAAGAAGAAAGGUUUGCCGAGAGAUGAAAGGAGGUAGUGCGAUAGUUUGGGAGGCAUUUAGGUUGAAAUAGAUAGAGAAUAAAUCGGAAAGAAGAAAGUUUAGAAAGUAGGAGAUGAGGUGUGAGUUUUUGGGUUCUAUGUUCAAAUUUAAAUCGUUAGUGAGAGAGAGUUUGUUUUAAAGUGAUGUGUUUGAUAACGGUUGAAAAACAUUUAUUUUCAUAUGUCAUUUUAGACCAAAUUACACCAUUUAAGACUUAGAAUAAGCUUAGAAUCAAGUAAAACCCAAUAAAUGAGUCAGUCGAG